AUGAGAUCAUUGUCCUCCAAGACCGCAGGACUCCAAGGGCGGCUGGGCUGCCGACAGGGCCAGCAGCAGCCUCCACACGGUUCAUCCUGUGUCUUCGGCACAGAGCCCAGAGACCGGCUGGGCACGGCGGCCCCAGCCCCCCAGCCGGGGAAGAAUGAGAAGGGGGUCGCCAGGGUGGGCCAGGGCUGCCGUGGAGCCCAGGCCCGGCACGCUCCCCUGUGUGCAGGCUGCACGGACUGGCCACACCUGGCCUGGGCCCGCGGGGGCAGCAGGCUGCAGGACGGCCACACGAGGCCUCGCAGGAGUGCACGCGGGGAGCGGGGCCGGCGGCAGCACACGCUGGGAGGGCCCCCCAUCGCGGCCUCCCCGAGUGGACGCUCAGCCUUUCCUGGGGUUCCGGGACACACAGGCCUGCAGGACAUGCCCGCACCCCAGGAAGAGACCCAGCGGCAGGACACGGGCUCAGGAAGGGGUGUGAGGACGGUGCGGGAGGCCCCCUGCCCUCAGGACGCCCAGGGCGGGCCGGGGCGCUCUCGGCCCCGCACACUCACCCCAGGGCACUCCUCCAGGCAGUGGGACACUGGGAACAAGGGAACGUGCCACGAGGACCCCGGCAUCCACGUCUCAGGCACGUGGCCACGCAGGCUGCGGCUUCUCGUGCCCAAAGCAGCCACGACCCUUUCCUCGCAGGGCUGCGUCGGGGACAGCGGUGAUGGCGGCCGGCGCCCCCUCCCUUCCUGGGGCAUCCCGGUGACCACCACGGUGUGUGCGGCACAGGCCGAGUAUCUGGACGCAAAAAUAUCAGCCAUGGUUACUGACGGUUCACCUCAGCCGUCCGGGAGCCUGUCCCCGAGAGCUGUGGACAGCCAGGACGGGCUCCUGAUGGAGGCCCCUGGGGUGUCUGUUCCCUGCACAGGCACACAGGGGAGCAAGAGAAUGCCCAACACUGACUCGCGGAAGACAAGGGCCGAGAACCUCAGACACGACAGGGCUAGGCCAGCGCCCAAGGCCGAGAGGGUGGAGGACUGCACAGAGGGCGCGGACAGGGCCCUGAGCAUGGAUCUGUUUGCGGCCAAGCAAGGCAGUGACCGCAGCCCAGGGUCAGGGGAAAGCACCCGCGAGCCGCCCCUGUGCUGGACUGGAUGGCAGGCGGCACCGGCCACAUCCUCAGCCACCAGCCAGGGCCUGUCCGUGUUCCCCCUGACCCCCUGCUGCAAAGGCAUGGCCGGUGCCACCGCGGUGAGUCUGGGCUGCCUCGUCACGGGCUACCUCCCGAUGCCGGUGACCGUGACCUGGGACACGGGGUCCCUAAACAAGAGUGUCGCCACCGUCCCCGCCACCUUCGACCAGACCUCCGGCCUCCACAACGCCAUCAGCCAGGUGACCUCCUGGGGCGAGUGGGCCAAACACACGUUCACCUGCAGCGUGGCUCUCGCGGCAUCCCCCGCCAUCAACAAGACCUUCAGAGCCUGUGCCAUGAACUUCAGCCCGCCCUCCGUGAAGCUCUUCCACUCCUCCUGCAACCCGCUGGGCGACACCCACACCACCAUCCAGCUCCUGUGUCUCAUCUCCGGCUACGUCCCGGGGGACAUGGAGGUCAUCUGGCUGGUGGACGGGCAGAGGGUCACAAACACGUUCUCCUACACUGCGCCCGGCACACAGGAGGGCAACGUGACCUCCACCCACAGCGAGCUCAACAUCACCCAGGGCGAGUGGGUGUCCCAGAAAACCUACACCUGCCGGGUCAGCUACCAAGGCUUCAACUUUGAGGACCAUGCGCUCAAGUGCACAGAGUCCGACCCCCGCGGCGUGAGCAGCUACCUGAGCCCGCCCAGCCCUCUGGACCUGUACGUCCACAAGUCGCCCAAGAUCACCUGCCUGGUGGUGGACCUGGCCAGCACGGAGGGCAUGAGCCUGACCUGGUCCCGGGAGAGCGGGGAACCCGUGCACCCAGACGGACAGAAGGAGGAAACUCAGUUCAACGGGACGGUCAGCGUCACGUCCAGCCUGCCAGUGGACACACAGGACUGGAUCGAGGGCGAGACCUACCACUGCACGGUGAACCACCCGGACCUGCCCAAGAGAAUCGUGCGCUCCAUUGCCAAGACCCCCGGCCAGCGAGCGGCCCCGGAGGUCUACGUGUUCCUGCCCCCGGAGGAGGACAAGGGGACCACGGACAGGGCCACCCUCACGUGCCUGGUCCAGAACUUCUUUCCCGCGGACAUCUCAGUGCAAUGGCUUCGAAAUGACAGGCCCGUCCAGCCGGGCCAGCAGGCCACCACGCGGCCCCACGCGGUCCCGGGCGCCAGGCGCGCCUUCUUCGUCUUCAGCCGCCUGGAGGUCAGCCGGGGGGACUGGGAGGAGCGGAACAGCUUCGCCUGCCAAGUGGUACACGAGGCCCUGCCCGAGUCGCGAGUCAUCAAGAAAACGGUCUCCAAAACCCCGGGUAAAUGAUGCGCCCUCCCCCGCCGGCCUCCCCACGCCCCAGGCGCCUGCGGCCGGGACAGGGGAGGGGGCCGGCCAGACCCUCCCUCCCUCCUUGUCAAUAAACACCGCAGUGUCCGCUCA
Non-coding RNA from Lontra canadensis (Northern American river otter), 2568 nucleotides. Lineage: Eukaryota; Metazoa; Chordata; Mammalia; Carnivora; Mustelidae. The record is from the annotation of a RefSeq genome assembly.